GAUGAACGCUAGCGAUAGGCCUAACACAUGCAAGUCGAGGGGCAUCACAUGAAGUAGCAAUACGGAUGGUGGCGACCGGCGCACGGGUGAGUAACACGUAUGCAACCUGCCUUCAACAAGGGGAUAACCCGUUGAAAGACGGACUAAUACCCUAUAACACAGGGGUCCCGCAUGGGAAUAUUUGUUAAAGAUUGAUCGGUUGAAGAUGGGCAUGCGUUCCAUUAGCUGGUUGGUGAGGUAACGGCUCACCAAGGCAACGAUGGAUAGGGGAACUGAGAGGUUUAUCCCCCACACUGGUACUGAGACACGGACCAGACUCCUACGGGAGGCAGCAGUGAGGAAUAUUGGUCAAUGGACGCAAGUCUGAACCAGCCACGUCGCGUGAAGGAAGACGGCCCUACGGGUUGUAAACUUCUUUUAUACGGGAAUAAAGUGCCCCACGCGUGGGGUUUUGCAUGUACCGUAUGAAUAAGGAUCGGCUAACUCCGUGCCAGCAGCCGCG
RNAcentral lists this ribosomal RNA (502 nucleotides) under uncultured bacterium. RNAcentral describes it as "bacterial SSU rRNA". It matches the Rfam family "Bacterial small subunit ribosomal RNA", at positions 28 to 519 of the family's 1533-position model. The record is from RNAcentral.